RNAcentral lists this small RNA (106 nucleotides) under Marmota monax (woodchuck). Lineage: Eukaryota; Metazoa; Chordata; Mammalia; Rodentia; Sciuridae. The record is from RNAcentral.
GCCGGGCAUGGUGGCCCACACCUGCAUCCCAGCAGCUGGGGAGGCUGAGGCAGGAGGAUCACGAGUUCAAAGCCAGCCUCAGCAGCUCCGUGAGACCCUGUCUCUA